UCGCCAAAAGAUGAGUCCGCGUCCGAUUAGCUAGUUGGUGGGGUAAUGGCCCACCAAGGCGACGAUCGGUAGCUGGUCUGAGAGGACGAUCAGCCACACUGGGACUGAGACACGGCCCAG
RNAcentral lists this ribosomal RNA (120 nucleotides) under uncultured bacterium. Its description in RNAcentral is "partial 16S ribosomal RNA". It matches the Rfam family "Bacterial small subunit ribosomal RNA", at positions 215 to 334 of the family's 1533-position model. The record is from RNAcentral.